UCAGAUUCUGCUACUUGUUGUGGAUGUUCUGGUGCCUGAUGUGUUCCUCUGCUCUGUGAGCUUGGAUUUAUUGGACUUCCUCCUCCUGAAAUCACCUCAAGACCUCUUCUUGGCGAACAGGUGUGUGGGGUCGCGGCCCCUGAACCCGGGCUGGAUGUUGAACACCGGUGUGUUCCUCCAGCUGGACGGGUUGCUGAAGGCCGGGGCCUCGGGGCCCGCGGCGCAGGGUUUGUUCUGCAGCAGCUGCAGGAAGGCCUCCAUGUCGGGCCCCAGCCGAGCCACGAGCCCCGCCCUCACCGCCCUCACCGUCUGCUCGUCACACGACUGCAGGGUCUGCAGCAGUGUGCUGUAAUACCUGCAGAGCAACAGGAAGUCAGCGAUCAUCCUCUGGAAGAUGUUGCAGCGUCGGAUGGUUUGGAAAAUCUUCGUUGAGAUUCCCUGAGAGAUGCAGUGCAGACUCUUCUUCACAAAGG
Molecule: long non-coding RNA, 473 nt
Organism: Eleginops maclovinus (Patagonian blennie)
Lineage: Eukaryota; Metazoa; Chordata; Actinopteri; Perciformes; Eleginopidae
Exons: 3
Source: RefSeq, a predicted model, not a curated record